GGGGAAUAUUGGGCAAUGGGCGCAAGCCUGACCCAGCAACGCCGCGUGAAGGAAGAAGGCUUUCGGGUUGUAAACUUCUUUUCUCAGGGACGAAGAAAGUGACGGUACCUGAGGAAUAAGCCACGGCUAACUACGUGCCAGCAGCCGCGGUAAUACGUAGGUGGCAAGCGUUAUCCGGAUUUACUGGGUGUAAAGGGCGUGUAGGCGGGAAAGCAAGUCAGGCGUGAAAACCAGGGGCUCAACCCCUGGCCUGCGUUUGAAACUGUUUUUCUUGAGUGUCGGAGAGGUAAUCGGAAUUCCGUGUGUAGCGGUGAAAUGCGUAGAUAUACGGAGGAACACCAGUGGCGAAGGCGGAUUACUGGACGAUAACUGACGCUGAGGCGCGAAAGCGUGGGGAGCAAAC
RNAcentral lists this ribosomal RNA (403 nucleotides) under uncultured bacterium. Its description in RNAcentral is "bacterial SSU rRNA". It matches the Rfam family "Bacterial small subunit ribosomal RNA", at positions 356 to 773 of the family's 1533-position model. The record is from RNAcentral.